AUUGAACGCUGGCGGCAUGCUUUACACAUGCGAGUCGAGCGGUAACAGGCCUUCGGGUGCUGACGAGUGGCGGACGGGUGAGUAAUGCAUCGGAACGUACCCAGAGGUGGGGGAUAACGCAGCGAAAGCUGUGCUAAUACCGCAUGUGAUCUGAGGAUGAAAGCGGGGGACCGAGCAGCAAUGUUUGGCCUCGCGCCUUUGGAGCGGCCGAUGUCGGAUUAGCUAGUUGGUGGGGUAAAGGCCUACCAAGGCGACGAUCCGUAGCUGGUCUGAGAGGACGACCAGCCACACUGGGACUGAGACACGGCCCAGACUCCUACGGGAGGCAGCAGUGGGGAAUUUUGGACAAUGGGCGCAAGCCUGAUCCAGCAAUGCCGCGUGCGGGAAGAAGGCCUUCGGGUUGUAAACCGCUUUUGGCAGGAACGAAACGGUGUCCGCUAAUACCGGGCGCUAAUGACGGUACCUGCAGAAUAAGCACCGGCUAACUACGUG
Molecule: ribosomal RNA, 492 nt
Filed under: uncultured bacterium
Lineage: Bacteria
Description: partial 16S ribosomal RNA
Rfam family: Bacterial small subunit ribosomal RNA
Source: RNAcentral